UGAGGAACAUGACUUUCGGCGGGGGAUAGCCGGCCCAACGGCCGGGUAAUACCGCGUACGACCACAUGGGGACAUCCCUGAGUGGUGAAAGCAGCAAUGCGCCGAUGGAGUGCCUCGCGGCCUAUCAGCUAGUUGGUGAGGUAACGGCUCACCAAGGCGACGACGGGUANCUGGUCUGAGAGGAUGGCCAGCCACAUUGGAACUGAGACACGGUCCAGACCUCUACGGGAG
This 231-nucleotide ribosomal RNA is filed under the name uncultured bacterium. Its description in RNAcentral is "partial 16S ribosomal RNA". It matches the Rfam family "Bacterial small subunit ribosomal RNA", at positions 118 to 347 of the family's 1533-position model. The record is from RNAcentral.